AUGAACGAACUGGAUGACUUAACUCAGUUGUCCGAGACUGUUUCUGAGGAUGGUGACGUGCUUUACUCUAUGAAUUCCACGUUGCAAGUAGAACCUCUCCAUGUGGGGUGUAAAGAUUCUGUUAGCUUGUUGAAAAUUCAGGAUAAAAUUCUUUUGCAUGAAAGAUUAGUAGAUUUUCAAAGAAGCCAAAGAAGCCACUGUGAAUUACUUAGAGGAUAAUUUUACAGAAUGAAAAGUAAGGUUCGUGGGCUAAAAAAGAGCUGUCAGAAACCAAAGAAGUGAAAUCACAGUUAGACCAUCAGAAAGUGGAAUGGGAAUGAGAGCUCAGCAGCUUGAGGUACUGUACACCUCGCUUUUAAAGAAACAUUUGAACUAUUGUUUCCUUUAAUACUGCAGAAAUGUAGAUGUGUUAUAAGGACUAAUUUAUCCUCUAGGAUUUUACAGAGGAGAAAGUGUUACUAGUAUUGUGGAGUGUGAAAUUCUUGGAAAUAAUAUAGUAGGUUCCUAACAGUGAAUGCUUCUAAUAAUGUAUAUUUUUCCAAAUUAUCAUUUUAGUGACCAUACAGAAGUUCAGCAUAAUGGAAAGCCCAUUAAAGAUUUACCAAAUUCACUUUCAGUUGUUUUUCACUUUUCUGUAUUCUAUUUAAUAUUGCAAGGAGCACUUUUUCUAUAAAUUCAUUUCUACCUUUCUAAUUAUUUUAAAUACAUUUUCUUUAAUAAUAUCGUAUUAUUUGGUCAAAGUAUGAGAACUUAAAAAUGAUCUGUGAUCUAUAUUUCUAAACUAUUCUUAGAAAAGUUUAUAUUACUUUACAUUCCCACCUGCAGAUUUAUGAAGUAGCCAUUUUUCUCAAGAGAAAAUGAAAACAAAAUUUUAUGCAGUUUUAUUCUUAACCCUCUGUCUGAAAACAGUGACCAUUAUUAAGUGUUUUUCAUUGUAUUUCCCCCACGUUUACUGUUUUAAACAUUGUGAAGAGGGAACGAAAGUUAUUGCAGCACUGAAUAAUCUCAUGAUUUUCUAAGAAGAGCUUUAAAUUUUGCAGAUUCACCUUAAAGCAAGAAGAAGAGAAUAGAAGAAAUGCCGAGAUGUUAUAUGAAAAAAUGAGGGAGCAUUUAAGAAGAAGACCAAUAUAGUAAAGAAGUUGAAGUGAAACAGCACCUAGAACUCACUUUCCAAGCAGUAGAAGUGAUAGUGAAGACUGAGAGAAAUAAUCUGAAUCAGGUAGAGUAAUCUUUGGUGAAAAUUUCAAAUUUCUAACAUGAUUUUAUCAAUAUUGUUUAUAAUACCCCCUUAAAAAAUACCAUUUAUUUAGUGUCAUUUUGUUUAGUGUUAUAGGAAAUUUUAGGUUAAUUGUUAAAAACAAAAGAAAAGAAUAUUCAAAGUUCCCAAAGUAACAAGGCUGGAAAUAAGAAAUGUAUGAUCCUGACAUGCUGGGUGCACUUUUUCGAGUAGAGGGAGGAAGAGGUCACGUCAGUAGCUCACACAAUAGAUCCUGAGAAACCACAGGGUUGAGAAUGGUGUAGAAACUGGAUGUUAAGCUCUCAGCCCACCUCAGGCAACCGAUUCUUCAGCCUUGAUGGACCAUUUGUGAGAGAAUAGGUCUAGAAGAGAAGGGGUGCUGGGAGGGACCCAUCGUGCCUAAUUUUACAUCAACUUGCUUCUGGCCUUCAAUCUGGCAGGUGGCUGAGGGUCGUGGAUCCCCCUCCCUCUGUGCCCGUCAGCCCUCCAGUCCACCUGCCCCAUGAACAGCUCAGAGCUGGCUCCAGCUUUCUCAGCUGUGUUCUCCCUCACAGCAGAGUCCUCAAGGACAGGUGAUAACUGGCAUCCUCCAGAGGUGCAGGGUUUUUUUUUUUUUUUCCAGCAGUUGGUAGAAAUCAGACACUCUUGAAGUUGGUUGUCCUUCCUUCUUCAGAGUUCUCAAGUGGCAUCUCACAGCAGAGGAAUUUGCUCCCACACCCAAUGUCCCUCUCAAACAUGGACUGUGUCCCAUCCUUGAGGUCCUAGCAGCAGAUCUCCCACAAUGAAAAGCUCUCGGUAAGAGCUCGGGAAAGUAGUAUUUGUAAUUCAAAUCCAUUUGUCUAGAGCAAUCAGGUAGUGACAUACGAUGGCCUCAUCCAAGGAGAGGCCUUUAAUAUUUUCCAUAGGAAUCAAUCUCAAAUCUUUUGUGACUAUGUCAGAGGAGCUGGCACCCUGAUUGUGGUUUAGGCAAGGAAGACCAUGUGUGUUCCAACCAUCGACUGCGCUACCCGACCAAGUCCCUCUGCUUUGGAGUGAACGUGUUGGUCACUCCAUGCACGUUGUCACCUUCAGUGUCUGAAUCAGAGUCCAUUCUUGGCUCCACUGUCAUUUCUUUAACCAAUACCCUGUCAACGAGCUUUUCACAUCAUUUACUGUUCUUCAUUUUGUAAAAACUGUGACAUCAGUUCUAAAAACACUUUUGAACACUUUAAAAACUUGUUUCUUUAGAAUAAAUUUAUAAAAGUGCCUCCCCCGCA
Molecule: long non-coding RNA, 2493 nt
Filed under: Bos indicus x Bos taurus (hybrid cattle)
Lineage: Eukaryota; Metazoa; Chordata; Mammalia; Artiodactyla; Bovidae
Description: lncRNA (ENSBIXG00005005313.1)
Source: RNAcentral